CUGCAGCCAAUUAAGCCGACUGAGUUCCUUUCCUCAUGGGGGCCCAGUGUGCAAUGGCUGCAAACAGCAGCUUCCCUGGUAGUGAUGCAGCCUGUUUGUUGUAUGGGUUGCUCUAAGGGACCUUGGAGACAGAC
Molecule: small nucleolar RNA, 134 nt
Organism: Colobus angolensis palliatus
Lineage: Eukaryota; Metazoa; Chordata; Mammalia; Primates; Cercopithecidae
Gene: SNORA70
Rfam family: Small nucleolar RNA SNORA70
About the family: snoRNA U70 seems to be exclusive to mammals and is a member of the H/ACA class of snoRNA which contain H (ANANNA) and ACA box motifs.
Source: Ensembl